Molecule: ribosomal RNA, 460 nt
Filed under: uncultured bacterium
Lineage: Bacteria
Description: partial 16S ribosomal RNA
Rfam family: Bacterial small subunit ribosomal RNA
Source: RNAcentral
CCUACGGGUGGCAGCAGUGAGGAAUAUUGGUCAAUGGACGAGAGUCUGAACCAGCCAAGUAGCGUGAAGGAUGACUGCCCUAUGGGUUGUAAACUUCUUUUAUAUGGGAAUAAAAUGUUCCACGUGUGUGCUUUUGUAUGUACCCUAUGAAUAAGGAUCGGCUAACUCCGUGCCAGCAGCCGCGGUAAUACGGAGGAUCCGAGCGUUAUCCGGAUUUAUUGGGUUUAAAGGGAGCGUAGGGGGGUUGUUAAGUCAGGUGUGAAAGUUUGGGGCUCAACCGUAACAUUGCUGUUGAAACUGGCAGUCUAGAGUACGGUAGAGGUGGGCGGAAUUCGUGGUGUAGCGGUGAAAUGCUUAGAUAUCACGAAGAACUCCGAUUGCGAAGGCAGCUCACUGGACUGCAACUGACGCUGAGGCACGAAAGUGUGGGUAUCAAACAGGAUUAGAUACCCGGGUAGUC